AUCACUAACGCCUCCCUACAGAGCUAACAGGUUCUGUCCCAAACUAUCACUAACGCCUCCCUACAGAGCUAACAGGUUCUGUCCCAAACUAUCACUAACGCCUCCCUACAGAGCUAACAGGUUCUGUCCCAAACUAUCACUAACGCCUCCCUACAGAGCUAACAGGUUCUGUCCCAAACUAUCACUAACGCCUCCCUACAGAGCUAACAGGUUCUGUCCCAAACUAUCACUAACGCCUCCCUACAGAGCUAACAGGUUCUGUCCCAAACUAUCACUAACGCCUCCCUACAGAGCUAACAGGUUCUGUCCCAAACUAUCACUAACGCCUCCCUACAGAGCUAACAGGUUCUGUCCCAAACUAUCACUAACGCCUCCCUACAGAGCUAACAGGUUCUGUCCCAAACUAUCACUAACGCCUCCCUACAGAGCUAACAGGUUCUGUCCCAAACUAUCACUAACGCCUCCCUACAGAGCUAACAGGUUCUGUCCCAAACUAUCACUAACGCCUCCCUACAGAGCUAACAGGUUCUGUCCCAAACUAUCACUAACGCCUCCCUACAGAGCUAACAGGUUCUGUCCCAAACUAUCACUAACGCCUCCCUACAGAGCUAACAGGUUCUGUCCCAAACUAUCACUAACGCCUCCCUACAGAGCUAACAGGUUCUGUCCCAAACUAUCACUAACGCCUCCCUACAGAGCUAACAGGUUCUGUCCCAAACUAUCACUAACGCCUCCCUACAGAGCUAACAGGUUCUG
Molecule: long non-coding RNA, 756 nt
Organism: Oncorhynchus keta (chum salmon)
Lineage: Eukaryota; Metazoa; Chordata; Actinopteri; Salmoniformes; Salmonidae
Exons: 3
Source: RefSeq, a predicted model, not a curated record